CCACACGACUCUCGGCAACGGAUAUCUCGGCUCUCGCAUCGAUGAAGAACGUAGCAAAAUGCGAUACCUGGUGUGAAUUGCAGAAUCCCGCGAACCAUCGAGUUUUUGAACGCAAGUUGCGCCCGAGGCCUUCUGGCUGAGGGCACGCCUGCCUGGGCGUCACG
This 164-nucleotide ribosomal RNA is filed under the name Poidium itatiaiae. RNAcentral describes it as "Chascolytrum itatiaiae 5.8S ribosomal RNA". It matches the Rfam family "5.8S ribosomal RNA". From Rfam's summary of the family: 5.8S ribosomal RNA (5.8S rRNA) is a component of the large subunit of the eukaryotic ribosome. It is transcribed by RNA polymerase I as part of the 45S precursor that also contains 18S and 28S rRNA. RNAcentral also lists the same sequence under 1 other name. Lineage: Eukaryota; Viridiplantae; Streptophyta; Magnoliopsida; Poales; Poaceae. The record is from RNAcentral.